CCCAGUUGACGAUUUCAUUUUUCAAAACUUUCCUUCUGAAACAUUUCAUUUUCUUUUUUGUUUUGAAACUUUCUCUCUUCCAUUCUUCAUCUCCUAAAGCUUUCCUAAUCUGGUUCACACACCCAAUCGUACCUUUUUUACUUUUCGGCAUACUCAAGGACCUCCAUUUCCAGGUAUAUCUCCUCUUUUCUUCUUAGAGUUUCUAUUGCAAGAAUAUGUGCAAGAUUAUUGGCAGAUCUUGAUGUAUGUUGGAAUUUGAUAUUAUUGGAGCCACUUAUUUUCUGUUGGAUAUCAUAAAUAUAUGCCCCUACCAGUGAUCGAUCCUGACCCUUUGUGUUGCAUUUCUUUAUUAUUGCGAGGGAAUCUCCUUCAAAGAUGAUUGACUGCCAUCCCUUUUCGACUCCUAUUUGAACUGUUUUCCAACAGGCUAUUGCUUCAGCAGCAAAUGCAGAGUUUAUGUCAUUGUGGAUCUCUGAACAGGAUAAAAGAACUUUUCCUUCCGCAUCUCUGGCCACAAUACCUGAAG
RNAcentral lists this long non-coding RNA (526 nucleotides) under Gossypium raimondii (Peruvian cotton). RNAcentral's name for it is "long non-coding RNA (GRAI_LNC005522)". The record is from RNAcentral. Lineage: Eukaryota; Viridiplantae; Streptophyta; Magnoliopsida; Malvales; Malvaceae.